AUUCCAAUCGAACUCGGAGAUAGCUGGUUCUCCCCGAAAUAGCUUUAGGGCUAGCCUCAUAUUAGAUACCCGGAGGUAAAGCACUGAAUGGCCUAGCGCCCGAGAGGGUAGCGAAGCCUAUCAAACUAAGAAUGCCGGAGUAUUGAUGUAUGGGAGUCAGACAGUGUGAGAUAAAUCUCAUUGUCAAAAGGGAAACAGCCCAGAUCUACAGCUAAGGUCCCAAAUUGUAUCUAAGUGGAAAACGAUGUGGAAAUACGCAGACAACCAGGAUGUUGGCUCAGAAGCAGCCACUCAUUUAAAGAGUGCGUAAUAGCUCACUGGUCGAGCGUCUCUGCGCGGAAAAUUUAACGGGGCUAAGAUACAAACCGAAGCUUAGGCUGCACGUAAGUGCGGGGUAGGGGAGCGUUGUGUAAGCGGAGAAACAGUAGCGAAAGCGGCUGUGGAGUUUACAGAAGUGAGAAUGCCGGAAUGAGUAGCGCGAAUGUGGUGAGAAUCCACAUGGCCGGAAACCUCAGGUUUUUGGAGGAAGGUUCGUCCGCUCCAAGUUAGGCGGGAGCUAAGGUCAGGCCGAAAGGCGUAGCCGAUGCACAGACGGUAGAGAUUCCGUCCCCACCGAAAGAUUUAAGCACAGGGACACUUUUUGAAGGUCGGAGCCAGGUGUUGGUUCUGGUAGUGAUCGAGGGAAAUUUAGUACCGAAGUCUGGCUGGAUAAGAGGCGAGAAAAGCUGUGUGUAUAUCUAAGGUGCCCGUACCGCAAACCGACACAGGUAGGUAGGAAGAAGAUUCUAAGGCCAACGGGAGAAGGGUUGUUAAGGAACUCGGCAAGUUGACCCCGUAACUUCGGAAUAAGGGGUGCUCACGAGAGUGAGCCGCAGAGAAUAGGCCCAGGCAACUGUUUACCAAAAACACAGGUUUGUGCUAAAUCGAAAGAUGACGUAUACGAGCUGACGCCUGCCCGGUGCUGGAAGGUUAAAAGGAGAUGUGCAAGCAUUGAAUUGAAGCCCCAGUGAACGGCGGCCGUAACUAUAACGGUCCUAAGGUAGCGAAAUUCCUUGUCAGGUAAGUUCUGACCCGCAUGAAAGGCGUAAUGAUCUGGGCACUGUCUCAACAGCCCGCCCGGCGAAAUUGUAGUACCGGUGAAGAUGCCGGUUACCCGCGACAAGACGGAAAGACCCCAUGGAGCUUUACUGUAGCCUGAUAUUGGGUUUCGGUGUUGCAUGCACAGGAUAGAUGGGACGCUGGGAAAGAAGCGCUUUGGCGUUUCCGGAGCGGACGUUGGGAUACCAUCCUUGCGACAUUGGAAUUCUAACCUGCGCCUCUGAAUCGAGGCGGGGGACAUUGUCAGGUGGGCAGUUUGACUGGGGCGGUCGCCUCCUAAAAAGUAGCGGAGGCGUUCAAAGGUUCGUUCGAUCUGGACGGAAACCAGAUGAUUGAGUGCAAACGCAUAAACGAGCCUGACUGCGAGACUGACGGGUCGAGCAGAGACGAAAGUCGGAGUUAGUGAUCCGGUGGUAUGUGAGUGGAAAUGCCAUCGCUCAACGGAUAAAAGUUACCCUGGGGAUAACAGGCUGAUCUCCCCCAAGAGUCCACAUCGACGGGGAGGUUUGGCACCUCGAUGUCGGCUCAUCGCAUCCUGGGGCUGAAUUCGGUCCCAAGGGUUUGGCUGUUCGCCAAUUAAAGCGGUACGCGAGCUGGGUUCAGAACGUCGUGAGACAGUUCGGUCCCUAUCUGUCGUGGGCGCAGGAUAUUUGAAAGGCGCUGUCCCUAGUACGAGAGGACCGGGAUGGACGAACCUCUGGUGCACCAGUUGUCACGCCAGUGGCACAGCUGGGCAGCUAUGUUCGGAUCGGAUAAACGCUGAAAGCAUCUAAGCGUGAAGCCGGCCUUAAGAUAAGAUAUCCCACUGAGUCAAUCAGGUAAGACCCCUUGAAGACUACAAGGUUGAUAGGCACACAGUGUAAGCGGAGUGAUCCGUUCAGCUAGCGUGUACUAAUAGGUCGAGGGCUUGACCCC
This 2013-nucleotide ribosomal RNA is filed under the name human gut metagenome. RNAcentral's name for it is "bacterial LSU rRNA". It matches the Rfam family "Bacterial large subunit ribosomal RNA", at positions 826 to 2925 of the family's 2925-position model. The record is from RNAcentral.